UACAGAGGGGGCAAGCGUUAUUCGGAUUUAUUGGGCGUAAAGAGCGUGUAGGCGGCCAGGUAGGUCUGCUGUGAAAACUCGAGGCUCAACCUCGAGACGUCGGCGGAAACCAUCUGGCUAGAGUCCGGAAGAGGAGAGUGGAAUUCCUGGUGUAGCGGUGAAAUGCGCAGAUAUCAGGAAGAACACCCGUGGCGAAGGCGGCUCUCUGGGACGGUACUGACGCUGAGACGCGAAAGCGUGGGGAGCGAACAGG
Molecule: ribosomal RNA, 253 nt
Filed under: uncultured bacterium
Lineage: Bacteria
Description: partial 16S ribosomal RNA
Rfam family: Bacterial small subunit ribosomal RNA
Source: RNAcentral